RNAcentral lists this transfer RNA (76 nucleotides) under Occallatibacter riparius. RNAcentral's name for it is "tRNA-OTHER". The record is from RNAcentral. Lineage: Bacteria; Pseudomonadati; Acidobacteriota; Terriglobia; Terriglobales; Acidobacteriaceae.
GAGGUGUAAGCGAAGUGGCUACACUGCCGGUCUCCCAAAACCGGACCCGGAGGUUCGAGUUCUCCCACCCUCGCCA